Molecule: ribosomal RNA, 783 nt
Filed under: Bacillus sp. 5T-12
Lineage: Bacteria; Bacillati; Bacillota; Bacilli; Caryophanales; Bacillaceae
Description: bacterial SSU rRNA
Rfam family: Bacterial small subunit ribosomal RNA
Source: RNAcentral
UAUCAUGCAGUCGAGCGGAAGAAGGGAGCUUGCUCCCGGAUGUUAGCGGCGGACGGGUGAGUAACACGUGGGUAACCUGCCUGUAAGACUGGGAUAACUCCGGGAAACCGGAGCUAAUACCGGAUAGUUCCUUGAACCGCAUGGUUCAAGGAUGAAAGACGGUUUCGGCUGUCACUUACAGAUGGACCCGCGGCGCAUUAGCUAGUUGGUGGGGUAAUGGCUCACCAAGGCGACGAUGCGUAGCCGACCUGAGAGGGUGAUCGGCCACACUGGGACUGAGACACGGCCCAGACUCCUACGGGAGGCAGCAGUAGGGAAUCUUCCGCAAUGGACGAAAGUCUGACGGAGCAACGCCGCGUGAGUGAUGAAGGUUUUCGGAUCGUAAAGCUCUGUUGUUAGGGAAGAACAAGUGCGAGAGUAACUGCUCGCACCUUGACGGUACCUAACCAGAAAGCCACGGCUAACUACGUGCCAGCAGCCGCGGUAAUACGUAGGUGGCAAGCGUUGUCCGGAAUUAUUGGGCGUAAAGGGCUCGCAGGCGGUUUCUUAAGUCUGAUGUGAAAGCCCCCGGCUCAACCGGGGAGGGUCAUUGGAAACUGGGAAACUUGAGUGCAGAAGAGGAGAGUGGAAUUCCACGUGUAGCGGUGAAAUGCGUAGAGAUGUGGAGGAACACCAGUGGCGAAGGCGACUCUCUGGUCUGUAACUGACGCUGAGGAGCGAAAGCGUGGGGAGCGAACAGGAUUAGAUACCCUGGUAGUCCACGCCGUAAACGAUGAGUGCUAG